GAAGCUGCAGUUAGUGCCUUAGCGGCCCUUAGGGUAUGAACUGAAGCGUGCAGAAGGGGAAGGAUUCUAAAAUCUGUUGAAAUGUACUCUAGUAAGAGGCUUCUUUGCUGAUGUGCUUGGCUCCAACGUCACUGUUGUAAUAAUGUUUUCUUUUUCCUUGUGGUGAUGUCAGCUAGGGAUACUCCUGCUUUCUUCCUCCCACCAAGGACUUUGUUCUGCUGUGGAAAUAAUGUUCUAGCCAUGGGUCAUUGAACUUUAAAUGGCAGAGAGAGUAUGUGAGUGUUAUGCAUCUGAAGGAGCAAUUCAGCCAGUGUUCUGACUGUGGACUGUGACGAGGUAAUGACUCCUAGGGGGUGGGGUGAGAAAUGGGGACAGCAUGAAGUUUCAGAAUAGGAUCUUUCACUCUUGGCUCUGUCCUGGAAAGGCAGUUUAAGUUAGGAGAAGACUUUCCAUUUCUUCAUGCCUUUUUUUCUUUUUUUUUUUUCCCCUGUCUACAUGAAGGGAAGAAUAGGAGCAAGGCAUGAUGUACCUUGUAAAAUAAGAAUCCAACAGUGCAUUGAAGGAAAGAAUGCUGAGGACAGGAUUCUGUGCAUGUGUGGGCAUAUGUUUACUUUAUCUGCUAGAGGCAUGUAUCUCACAGUAGCAGUAAUGAGAAUUCCAUCCCAAAAAUGACAUCCGUCACUCUGGAGAUGUGCCCCCGUUCUGUCAAUUCACAGCACCUAAAGAAACAGCACACAUGAGGAUUCCUGUCCAGUAUGCAUCAUUUGUCUAUUACAUUUUUAGGACAGUUUUAAGACCAAGAGGAUUUGGGCUGAAUACUUUGGAAAAUAUGGAGUGUAUGG
Molecule: long non-coding RNA, 842 nt
Filed under: Meleagris gallopavo (turkey)
Lineage: Eukaryota; Metazoa; Chordata; Aves; Galliformes; Phasianidae
Description: lncRNA (ENSMGAG00000019662.1)
Source: RNAcentral